Molecule: unclassified non-coding RNA, 1949 nt
Filed under: Hevea brasiliensis (rubber tree)
Lineage: Eukaryota; Viridiplantae; Streptophyta; Magnoliopsida; Malpighiales; Euphorbiaceae
Source: RNAcentral
GGCAUUGUUUGAACGGUACUCAGACAAUGGCAUCAUGACCAUUGAUCAUCUACGCAGGUUCCUCGUUGAGGUCCAAAAGGAAGAUAAGGCUACCACAGGCGACGCUCAGGACAUCUUUUAUCAUCUCCACGAGCUCCAACUUGGUCUCAAUUUCGAGGCUUUUUUCAAAUACCUUUUCGGCGAUAUUAACCCUCCUCUCGAUCUUAAACGUGGGGUUCACCAUGAUAUGACUGCUCCUCUGUCGCACUAUUUCAUAUUUACUGGGCACAAUUCAUAUCUAACUGGGAAUCAACUUAGUAGUGACUGCAGUGAUGUCCCCAUCAUAGAUGCUUUGCAGAGUGGUGUGAGAGUGAUUGAAUUGGAUAUAUGGCCUAAUUCCAAUAAGGAUAAUGUGGAGGUUCUUCAUGGGAGGACACUGACAGCACCUGUGGAACUUAUCAAGUGUUUGAGGUCUAUCCAGGAGCAUGCCUUUACCGCAUCUGAUUAUCCAGUUAUUAUAACUCUAGAAGACCACCUUACUCCAGAUCUUCAGGCUAAAGUGGCUGAGAUGAUCACUCAAACAUUUGGAGACAUCCUGUUUUCUCCUGGCUCAGAAUGCUUAAAGGAAUUUCCCUCCCCAGAAUUUUUGAAGAAACGUAUCAUCAUAUCAACCAAACCACCAAAGGAAUACCUCGAGGCCAAACAAACUAAGCAUAGGGAUAGUGAAGAAGCUUAUGGGAAAGAAACCAGUGACCUUAAAGGUCACAUUCAAGCUGGUGACAAGAAUGAUUUGGAUGAAGAUAGCGAUGAUGAGGAAGAUGCGGACGAAGGAAUUAUGAGGUCAACGCGAAAUGUAGUACCAGAGUAUAAACAAUUAAUUGCUAUUCAUGCUGGGAAGCCUAAAGGUGGACUAGAAGAAUGCCUUAAAGUGGAUCCAGAGAAAGUGAGGCGACUUAGCUUAAGUGAGCCACAACUUGAAAAAGCUGCAGAAACUUAUGGAAAAGAAAUUGUCAGGUUUAGCCAACGAAAUAUACUUAGAGUGUACCCAAAGGGUAUUCGUAUUAACUCAUCCAACUACAACCCACUAAUUGGGUGGACGCAUGGAGCUCAAAUGGUUGCUUUUAACAUGCAGGGACAUGGAAAAUCACUUUGGUUAAUGCGUGGAAUGUUCAGAGCCAAUGGUGGGUGUGGCUAUGUGAAGAAACCAGAUUUUCUGUUGAAAUCGAGCCCACAUGGUGACGUGUUCAAUCCUAGAGUCGAGUUGCCCGUGAAGACAAUAUUGAAGGUGAAAGUAUAUAUGGGGGAAGGAUGGUUCAAUGAUUUCCAGGGCAAAAGUUUUGAUGCAUUUUCCUCACCAGAUUUUUAUGUUAGGGUAGGGAUUGCUGGGGUCCCUGCGGAUACUGUAAUGAAGGAGACAGAGACACAGAUGAACAAUUGGAUGCCUGUGUGGAAUGAGGAAUUUAAGUUCCCACUAACUGUUCCAGAACUGGCUCUGCUGCGUAUUGAAGUUUAUGACUACGACAUGUCCGAGAAGGAUGACUUUGCAGGUCAAACAUGCCUUCCCGUGUUCGAGUUAAGAAGAGGGAUUCGAGCAGUUCCACUCUAUAACUUUGAUGGAGUGAAGUAUAAUUCUAUAAAGCUCCUUAUGCAGUUUGAUUUUAUUUAGACUAUUAUCAGUUUGCAAUUUACACGUUUGUGAAGCUAGUUCUAUAUGUUGAUGCUGUUGUGAGCUGGUGUCUGAAAACGAGCAGCUAUAUAACAGAAUAACAUCUCUGCCCUGCUGGUUUCUACCCUCAGUAAGUCUUCUCAAUAAGAUAGUGCAGUAGGCAGCAGGGUCCUGGCAAGUAUAAUUUUAUUGUAAUGCAAAUAAGAAUCUUGUGUUUUUACUGAUUCGGUUAUUACUUUUUCUAUUCAAUUUUUAGAAAUUACGUCCUGUAAAAUAUAAUUUUAUUGUAAUGUAAAUAAGAAUC